Molecule: ribosomal RNA, 440 nt
Filed under: uncultured bacterium
Lineage: Bacteria
Description: partial 16S ribosomal RNA
Rfam family: Bacterial small subunit ribosomal RNA
Source: RNAcentral
CCUACGGGGGGCAGCAGUGGGGGAUAUUGCACAAUGGGGGAAACCCUGAUGCAGCGACGCCGCGUGAGUGAAGAAGGAUUUCGGGAUGUAAAGCUCUAUCAGCAGGGAAGAAAAUGACAGUACCUGACCAAGAAGCCACGGCUAACUACGUGCCAGCAGCCGCGGUAAUACGUAGGGGGCAAGCGUUAUCCGGAUUUACUGGGUGUAAAGGGAGCGUAGACGGUUUUGUAAGUCUGGAGUGAAAGCGCGGGGCCCCACCCCGGGACUGCUGGGGAAACUGUGUAACUGGAGUACAGGAGGGGCAGGCGGAAUUCCUGGUGUAGCGGUGAAAUGCUUAGAUAUCAGGAGGAACUCCGGCUGCGAAGGCGGCCUGCUGGACUGAAACUGACGUUGAUGCUCGAAAGCGUGGGUAGCAAACAGGAUUAGAUACCCCAGUAGUC